RNAcentral lists this ribosomal RNA (254 nucleotides) under uncultured bacterium. RNAcentral describes it as "partial 16S ribosomal RNA". It matches the Rfam family "Bacterial small subunit ribosomal RNA", at positions 524 to 776 of the family's 1533-position model. The record is from RNAcentral.
UACGAAGGGAGCUAGCGUUGUUCGGAAUUACUGGGCGUAAAGGGCGCGUAGGCGGUCCUAAUAAGUUAGAUGUGAAAGACCUGGGCUUAACCUGGGAAGUGCAUUUAAGACUGUGGGACUAGAGGAUGAGAGAGGAAAGUGGAAUGACAAGUGUAGAGGUGAAAUUCGUAGAUAUUUGUUGGAACACCAGUGGCGAAGGCGACUUUCUGGAUCAUUACUGACGCUAAGGCGCGAAAGCGUGGGGAGCAAACAGG